Molecule: ribosomal RNA, 253 nt
Filed under: uncultured bacterium
Lineage: Bacteria
Description: partial 16S ribosomal RNA
Rfam family: Bacterial small subunit ribosomal RNA
Source: RNAcentral
GACGAACCGUGCGAACGUUAUUCGGAAUCACUGGGCUUAAAGGGUGCGUAGGCGGGCUCGCCAGUCAGGGGUGAAAUCCCACGGCCCAACCGUGGAAGUGCCUCUGAUACUGCGGGCCUCGAGGGGGAUAGGGGCGUGCGGAACUUCCGGUGGAGCGGUGAAAUGCGUAGAUAUCGGAAGGAACACCGGUGGCGAAAGCGGCGCGCUGGAUCCCUACUGACGCUGAGGCACGAAAGCGUGGGGAUCAAACAGG